Long non-coding RNA from Notothenia coriiceps (black rockcod), 288 nucleotides. RefSeq lists it as uncharacterized. Lineage: Eukaryota; Metazoa; Chordata; Actinopteri; Perciformes; Nototheniidae. The transcript is spliced from 4 exons. The record is from RefSeq and is a predicted model, not a curated record.
CCACUGAGGAGUCCUCCUUCAGUCCUACUCGUACAGUCCCUCAAAAACCCCUCAAACCUGCGCUGAAGAGACCCUCUGUGGUGGAGCGUCCCACCGAGAUCCCCACCAGCCCAAAUGAUAAUUCAGGCAUUGCUUUAAAGGACCUGUUCUGCGCCAGUCCCGACACAGAAGGCCUGGAGAAAAACAACAACGUGGAGAGCCCCGUGUCUCCUGAACUCAGGAGGCCGUCCAAACGAGUCCGGAUAUCCAUAGUGGAGCCACCAACGAUCUUAAAGAGCUACUUUGUGG